Molecule: long non-coding RNA, 2669 nt
Organism: Xiphophorus maculatus (southern platyfish)
Lineage: Eukaryota; Metazoa; Chordata; Actinopteri; Cyprinodontiformes; Poeciliidae
Exons: 4
Source: RefSeq, a predicted model, not a curated record
UAAAGCUGGACUGUAAACCAGAAUAGUAAAAUAUCCACUUCAGUUUAAUAAAUCUGUGCAGUUACUUCUAUAGCAACAGAACAACAUUGGAGUAGCUUAUUUGCGUAUUUCUUAUUACUUUAGUGGGAAGCAUUAUUUAGUCUUUAAAACAAAUCCCUGGCUGCAGCUAACAUUUUUUCAGUCAUGAGGGUGACACAACUGGCCAAAGCAAACAUUUUAAAGCCAGGACGAGCUACGCUUUUGGCCUGGCAACACAACGCUGAUCUGGACGAAGACACUAUUCAAAAGAUGUGCCAAGGAUUAACUGAAAUUGCAGCCUGAGUGUGAUUUAUAAGCCAUUCUGCGUCAUUUGACUGUGACAGGCUCUGACAAAUUAAUAUGCCUUCAGCCCUCUCCACUACUCUUUAAGGUAAUGGUUCCAUUAGCAGAUGUUUUUCGACAUCCACUCAGAUGCCGUUGGUCCCUCAUGAGAAAGAUAUUUUUUAUGCUCCUCAUUAUCGUAAUGAUGUGAACAUAUCUGAUUUGGUAAGUUGUGCUGCCUCACAACAGUUACGAAACCGAAAAAAAGUGGAAAUGUGGAAGCAGAACAAUGAACUCAAAACACAUUUGAGUGAAAAGUUAAAGAUUUUAUUUGGUUAAAUAAUACAACCAGCUGCAUGUCUUCUUAAUACAUCAUAAAAACGCCGAGAUCUAAUUGCGAAAAGGCUGCUGCAUUUGAUCAAGUAUUGCUGGAUGACUACAUGUUGGAAUGCCAUAAAAUGAGAUAAUGCACUCAGAUUUUCUAAUCGUGUUCUCCUGAGCAUUUUGACAUAUAGGAAAAAAGUGCAAAUCAGAGAAAGUGACACCAUAGAUCAGGCCCUAAACUUUAUUUGACUCGGUGUGUACGUACUGAGGCAGUAAUGAGAUCCCAAUGCUUGUUUCCUCAGAUGCUGGACCUAGUAGCACCGAUCAUGAAAGUGACCGUGGGCCCCAAAGUCACAUCCGACAGUCCGUAAAAUGCUGGGAGGUUUUCUGGAGACACCUGUUCAACAGCUCUCAGGGGCCCAUGCAUAGGACCCACUGCGAAGGCCAAAAAUUAUAGGCCUGUGUGAAGUUAUUUGAUGUAUUGCCAUCACAGGGCACUUUUUCCAGCCCAUUAAAUCCCUAUAAAUAUACUGGAGUCUGUGGAUGUGGAAAGGCUAAACCAGUAUGAACUAUGAAGUUUCUUGCAAUGCUCUGUCCAAUUUAAAUCUGCUACUUGGAGAAGAGGAAGGUGCAGGUUGUGUGUAACGCAGUGUCUGGCCUCAUACCGAAGUGUUUACAUUUGUCCAACCCUGUGACACUCUUCCAUAAGCCUGCAGGACACAGCAUAUUUCGGCAGCCGUCAUUGUGCAGAAAAAAAAUCCAGGUCAAAUAUGCAGGACAUCAACUCGCAGCCCAACACCUCUGGCUUUUGGGAUAUGAGUGUGGCUCCAAAGUCUGGCAAAGCAAAGAAGCAUAGAUACUUUCCAAAUGACGAGAGAAACUCCUGCCAUGGAAUAAAUGGCUUUCGUUAUUCCAACUGACAGACUUACUUAUUUCCCAGAACACUCGCCUCCAGCAGGACCUAAGAUCCUUUGUUCAGGAACAAUGUAAGUUUUCUUUUUUGAAAAAAAGAAACACUUUGAAACUAUAACAUUUUUUAUGUGGUCUUUUUCUCUCUAUCCUCUUACUUUUGUCUGUGUACAUUAUGAUUAAUACACAUCAACAAAAAACUGGGCAAGCUUUAAUUUUUCAACUUCAAUGAGGUCUCUGUCAAUGGAAUCCACUUACCCUAUACUCUGAGAGUCAUCUUUCUCUGACGCACUUUCGGACCAGCCAGUUUGCAGGAGGUUUUACGUUGUUUUAUAAUGCUCCCUGCUUGCUAAAUCCUCAUCUCAGCAGAAAAUGGUGGUUUGCUGUGUUAUGCACUGACAUCCUCUGGCAGUGCUUUAUGAACCACCAAGGAACGUGCUCUGGGCUUGAAACCAGCUGCCCCUGCCAGGGCCAUACACCGAGUCUUCGGUUUGUGCCACGUUGAUGUUUCCAAGAACCUCAACUUAAAUGUCUCUGACACAGCUACAAGAGCAAAAUUUGACUUACGUUUUUUCCUUAACUUUUUCCCAUGUACUUACAAGCAUGUUCUUAACCCUUUUACUCUUUGUGAGGCACAACGAGGGAAAAUCACACAAUCAGAUUAAUAAAGGAACAAUGUAAGCUCAGUUAUACAUGAAGUCUAAAUCAGGGCAAUGUCUACUUUCUGAUUAAAUUUGUUGAAGGUCAUCUUUUCAUCACCUUUUGUCGGAAAAUCCCAACGCAGUGAACACUUUAAGAGAUAUUGCACUCUAAUCUCAAAUAUUGCUUUGGGGCUCCAGUCAAGGCAUUUUUUAAUUACUGGUUUCCAGGGGCGGACUGGAAAAUGAGGUUUAUCGAGGAUUUCCCUUCUGGGUUGGUGGUUUAGCUCAUGGAGGAGCUGUUGUGCUCGUCCCGCAGUCACACAGCACAUUGUUGUUCUGCAGCGCCAUGAUGCUUCAAACUACAAUGCCAGAUCAAAUGAAUUCUCUUCCCCAGACCUCCAGCACAUUGCUGGAGGUGUAUCUACAGUCCAGUAACUUGCCAUCAUCAGUGUGGAAAUGUGUGUGAAUGGGAAUUACUGAUUUCAUUGCAAAGUG